RNAcentral lists this transfer RNA (73 nucleotides) under Pelodiscus sinensis (Chinese soft-shelled turtle). It matches the Rfam family "tRNA". Rfam says of the family: Transfer RNA (tRNA) molecules are approximately 80 nucleotides in length. Their secondary structure includes four short double-helical elements and three loops (D, anti-codon, and T loops). Further hydrogen bonds mediate the characteristic L-shaped molecular structure. tRNAs have two regions of fundamental functional importance: the anti-codon, which is responsible for specific mRNA codon recognition, and the 3' end, to which the tRNAs corresponding amino acid is attached (by aminoacyl-tRNA synthetases). tRNAs cope with the degeneracy of the genetic code in two manners: having more than one tRNA (with a specific anti-codon) for a particular amino acid; and 'wobble' base-pairing, i.e. permitting non-standard base-pairing at the 3rd anti-codon position. Lineage: Eukaryota; Metazoa; Chordata; Testudines; Trionychidae. The record is from Rfam by way of RNAcentral.
GCAGAAGUAGCUAAGUUGGGAAAGCAUUAGACUGAAGAUCGAAAGAUGCCUCGUUCAAUCCUGGGCUUUGGCA